GGGCGAUCGCCAGGCCGAGCCCGUCCGUGGCCCUCUGCCGCGGUCGAAAACCAACCCGGGGCCAACUUCUAAGUCAACGAGGGGCUGUUUUUACGUGCAGCAUCGAGUGGUUCUCAACGUUGGAAAGUCCUAACGUCCCAAGAAAGACACCGGCUACUCAAGCUGCCGGGAGCGCAGGCCUGCUUAGCACCACCUUUGGAACCUCCAGCAUCUCAGUGGCGAGAUGCCCCCAACCUGCGCCGCUAAAAGUCGAACAACGCCGGUGCGCGGGGCUCUGGCAAACCCUGGGUCCCCAGAAUGUUGCUGAAUAAUGCAAAUUCCUCUGCAGUUACCAAUACUGGUCUCAUUUAUGUUCACUGAAUUUACAGUGAUUAAGGCUAACUCAGUGGGUGUAUCAAGAAUGAAUAAUCAGAGAGCCAGAACCCACAUGACAACCUCACAGGUAUGCAAGACAUUUGUCAAAUCAUACAUUCAUACUAGGAGGUGGCUGGAAACGGAAGAGAGUUUGGGAAAGAAACAGACGUUCAAUCUGCGCCUGAUAUGUGCCAGACACAAGGGUCACAACAAUUCCAUUUCACAGCGCCAGAUAUGGCAUAGUAAUCCAAAGCUACAUAUUAACCAGAGAAGAAUGGCAACAGAUAACACUGGAGAAACUGCUCGUUAAGUGGCACUGUGGUGAUGUCAGGAGGAAAGAGUCACUUGAAAAGAAAAUGACAAAGAGUUCUGCUUCCAAAGUCGACUUCCAGAAGCUGUCUGCCUGUCUGCCACCCUAUCGACCAGCUGGUGCAUAAGCUCUAUAUUCAGUAAAGCAACUCCAAAAUUGGAUUUAACUGCUAAGUUAAUUUUCA
This is a long non-coding RNA of Zalophus californianus (California sea lion), 848 nucleotides long. RefSeq lists it as uncharacterized. Lineage: Eukaryota; Metazoa; Chordata; Mammalia; Carnivora; Otariidae. The transcript is spliced from 3 exons. The record is from RefSeq and is a predicted model, not a curated record.